GACGAACGCUGGCGGCGUGCUUAACACAUGCAAGUCGAACGGUGACGAGGAGCUUGCUCCUCUGAUCAGUGGCGAACGGGUGAGUAACACGUGAGCAACCUGCCCCAGACUCUGGGAUAACAGUUGGAAACAGCUGCUAAUACCGGAUACGAGGCGGAGAGGCAUCUCUACCGUCUGGAAAGUUUUUCGGUCUGGGAUGGACUCGCGGCCUAUCAGCUAGUUGGUGAGGUAAUGGCUCACCAAGGCGACGACGGGUAGCCGGCCUGAGAGGGCGACCGGCCACACUGGGACUGAGACACGGCCCAGACUCCUACGGGAGGCAGCAGUGGGGAAUAUUGCACAAUGGGCGAAAGCCUGAUGCAGCGACGCCGCGUGAGGGAUGAAGGCCUUCGGUUGUAACGUACUUCUAGCAGGAGAAG
RNAcentral lists this ribosomal RNA (419 nucleotides) under uncultured bacterium. RNAcentral's name for it is "bacterial SSU rRNA". It matches the Rfam family "Bacterial small subunit ribosomal RNA", at positions 28 to 447 of the family's 1533-position model. The record is from RNAcentral.